AUCUUGGUUUCCAGAUACCAAAUUCCAAAAAGACUUAGAGAUCCUUGAAGAAAUGACUUGUUCUAAGGCUGAAAUUGAGAAAAUACAAGAAAUCCCAGCUGAGAACUCGGAAGUGUAGAAAGAAAAUUAUUUUUCUUCCUUUACUGUUUUCACUCUCAGAAACUGGAUACAUAAGAGUUGAAUAAAACUAAAGCAAGGGGAAGGAAGGUGAUAAUAAAGACAAAAGCAGAAAUUAAUACAACUUAAGAGAGAAGAGAAACAAUAGAGAAAACCAGCAUAACCAAAUGUUUUUUGAAAAGAUGUAUAAGCCAACUGACUUGUUGCUUGGAUCAAGAUGAUGAUAGAGUAGAGAUGGUGAGAAAUAGUCAGAUUCUGGAUAUGUUUUGAUGGUUGAGCCUAUAGGGCUUUUGAUACAUUAGCAGAAGGCUAUGAGAAAAGGAAUCAGGGAGUCUUCAAGGGUUUGGAUCUAAGCCACUAGGAAAAUACAUUUGCCAUACACCAAUAAAUGGAACACAGAAGAAGGAGCAGGUUUAGGAGGUACAUCAGUCAAGAUAUGUUUUUUCUCUGAACAUGACAGAGGAAACCAUAUAAAAAUUACUUUAACAUUAUGUAAGUUUAUAGUAUAGCUCAUGUAAAACAAGUCUGGAGAGAGAUAAUCAAAAUAUCAUUGGAGAUUCAAAUUCACAUAUUUAUGCUCUGCUAUCCUGGCACAUGUUUCUCCUUAUCAAUUUCAACUGUUAUUAUUCAGAUGAGACCAAAUCCAGUAAAUAUGUGCUCAUUCAAGCUGAAAGAAGGAAAUUCAGGCUCUCUUUUGGGAACCCUUUCAAUUGUGUUAGUUCUCUUUAAGCAGCCACGCUGAAAGUCCCAUGUAAUAGAUCCAUUGAUAUCACAUUGGUUAGAGUUAGAUGCAGGACAAGCCCUUUUGCAAGAAAGGCUCUAGACAAAGUAAUAUCUGAUACUGGACACUGAUCUAUUCAACUAAAACCAUGGCUCCAGAGGGCACAUGCUAAAAAUUCUGUGGAAUAAGAAGGAGAGGGAGAUGGAGAUUAGGAAAUAUACAGAGCCACAUGAGGAUAAAAUAUGGCAAUGAGAAAAUCUUGGAAAUUCUGUGAUAGAUGCACACAGUGAUAUGACAUAAUGACAUGAAGAACAGUAUGAGAAAUGUUAGCAUUUGUAGUGAUCCAAAGGCAGCAAUCUAACAAUCUAGCCUAUUCAAAAAGCCAGUCAGAUGGUCACAAACAUUUUGAAAGAGAAAAUUCAGGUGUUAAAGAACAGGAUAGAAGUAAGAAAAAAAAAAAAAAAACAGGCAAAAGAGUUUAAAGGAGAAGACAGAAGACAGAAUCUGGAAAAAUUAUCUGAAAAGGAGCAGCAAAGACUCCACAGAGUGCUUGUAGACCAAGGAAUGGAGCGGAAAGGAGAGGGGAACAGUAACUUGUACUAAAAACUUUGGUCAUUGUUGCAAAUCUAAUUUCAAUUAUAGAACAGCUCCGAUAUACCAUCCAUGGUACAGAUGGGACACAGUUACAUCUUUAUCACUAAUUACUGGUAACUAACAAUUAUUGGUAAUAUUGGUAAUUAUUAAAGAUAUUUUGGUCAAGUAA
Molecule: long non-coding RNA, 1601 nt
Organism: Herpailurus yagouaroundi (jaguarundi)
Lineage: Eukaryota; Metazoa; Chordata; Mammalia; Carnivora; Felidae
Exons: 2
Source: RefSeq, a predicted model, not a curated record